AUUGAACGCUGGCGGCAUGCUUUACACAUGCAAGUCGAACGGCAGCACGGGGGCAACCCUGGUGGCGAGUGGCGAACGGGUGAGUAAUACAUCGGAACGUGCCCGGUCGUGGGGGAUAACGUCGCGAAAGUUACGCUAAUACCGCCUACGAUCUGAGGCUGCAAGCGGGGGACCUUCGGGCCUCGCGCGAUCGGAGCGGCCGAUGUCAGGUUAGUUAGUUGGUGGGGUAAAGGCCUACCAAGCCGACGAUCUGUAGCUGGUCUGAUAGGACGACCAGCCACACGGGGGCGGAGACACGGCCCAGACGCCUACGGGAGGCAGCAGUGGGGAAUGUUGGACAAUGGGCGCAAGCCUGAUCCAGCCAGUCCGCGUGCAGGACGAAGGCCUUCGGGUUGUAAACUGCUUUUGUAUGGAACGAAAAGGCUCUGGCUAAUACCUGGGGCUCAUGACGGUACCGUAAGAAGAAGCACCGGCUAACUACGUG
RNAcentral lists this ribosomal RNA (484 nucleotides) under uncultured bacterium. RNAcentral describes it as "partial 16S ribosomal RNA". It matches the Rfam family "Bacterial small subunit ribosomal RNA", at positions 28 to 507 of the family's 1533-position model. The record is from RNAcentral.